CCUACGGGAGGCUGCAGUGAGGAAUAUUGGUCAAUGGACGAGAGUCUGAACCAGCCAAGUAGCGUGAAGGAUGACUGCCCUAUGGGUUGUAAACUUCUUUUAUAAAGGAAUAAAACGAGGCACGUGUGCCUUUUUGCAUGUACUUUAUGAAUAAGGAUCGGCUAACUCCGUGCCAGCAGCCGCGGUAAUACGGAGGAUCCGAGCGUUAUCCGGAUUUAUUGGGUUUAAAGGGAGCGUAGAUGGGUUGUUAAGUCAGUUGUGAAAGUUUGCGGCUCAACCGUAAAAUUGCAAUUGAUACUGGCAGUCGUGAGUACAGUUGAGGUAGGCGGAAUGCGUGGUGGAGCGGUGAAAUGCUUAGAUAUCACGAAGAACCCCGAUUGCGAAGGCAGCUUACUAAACUGUGACUGACAUUGAUGCUCGAAAGUGUGGGUAUCAAACAGGAUUAGAUACCCCAGUAGUC
RNAcentral lists this ribosomal RNA (460 nucleotides) under uncultured bacterium. RNAcentral's name for it is "partial 16S ribosomal RNA". It matches the Rfam family "Bacterial small subunit ribosomal RNA", at positions 338 to 795 of the family's 1533-position model. The record is from RNAcentral.